This 254-nucleotide ribosomal RNA is filed under the name uncultured bacterium. Its description in RNAcentral is "partial 16S ribosomal RNA". It matches the Rfam family "Bacterial small subunit ribosomal RNA", at positions 524 to 777 of the family's 1533-position model. The record is from RNAcentral.
UACGGAGGGGGCUAGCGUUAUUCGGAAUUACUGGGCGUAAAGCGCACGUAGGCGGCUUUGCAAGUUAGAGGUGAAAGCCUGGAGCUCAACUCCAGAACUGCCUUUAAAACUGCAUCGCUUGAAUCCAGGAGAGGUGAGUGGAAUUCCGAGUGUAGAGGUGAAAUUCGUAGAUAUUCGGAAGAACACCAGUGGCGAAGGCGGCUCACUGGUCCGGUACUGACGCUGAGGUGCGAAAGCGUGGGGAGCAAACAGGG